Molecule: RNA transcript, 2320 nt
Organism: Zea mays
Lineage: Eukaryota; Viridiplantae; Streptophyta; Magnoliopsida; Poales; Poaceae
Exons: 11
Source: RefSeq, marked validated
UCGCUCGGUCCCUCCCCCUCGCUCCGGCCGCCACACCACGCGGGCACGUCAAUGGCGCGCAUCGUGUCACGAGCGCUCCCGUUCGCCUCGCGCUCGUCCCUCCGCCUCCCGCUCCCACCGCCCUUCCCCGGCGCGGCGCUGGUCCGUUCCGCCGCUGCGGGUUCGCCCCUGCCCCCAGCUGCCGAGGCUGCACUCGCGGCCUCGCUGCUCUCCUGGCGCGGGCACACGGCCACCCCCGAGUCCUCGAUAGCGGCGCCGCCGCCGUUCGCAGGGUUUCUCGCUGGAAUCCGCAGGUUCCGCAAGGGACGGCGCGGACAGGCGUCGGCGAAGCGGUCGCAGCCUCAGGACGCCCCGCCGCCCCCGCCCCCGCCCCCGCCUCCACCGAAGGAGAGAGAGAUCGAACUCGUCGCUCGCAUCGGCAUCGAGGAGGACAUGCCUGACGACCCAGAAGUGCUGAACAUUGUAGAAAUCCUUAAGUUAAAUGUCCCAAUGGCAAUGAAGAUUGCACUUGAUGGACUUCUGGAUUCCAGUUACAGCACCCGAGAUACCUCAAUAAGUGAUGUUGGGAAGUAUGAUAAGGUUGAGGUUUCUGUAUUGCUAUGCAAUGAUAACUUCAUCCAAGAUCUUAACAAAGAAUGGAGAGAUGUGGACUGCGCUACUGAUAUACUCUCAAUGUCCCAGUACAUUCCAGAUCUUGAUGUUCCCAUCCUAAUGUUAGGUGAUAUAGUAAUAUCUGUUGAGGCAGCUGAAAGGCAAGCUGGGGAGAAAGGUGUUACACUUCUUGAUGAAGUGCGGGUCCUAGUGGUUCGUGGCAUAUUGCAUCUUCUUGGUUUUCAACACGAGUCGAGCAAUGAGGCUGCAGCAGAAUUGGAGAAGGAGGAGCAGCUCAUUUUAAAAAGUCUAAGGUGGAAAGGAAAAGGUCUAGCUAAAAGUGUUCUGGAUUCAAGCAAGCCUCAAACAGAUUCAUUGGAUGAAUGUUUACAGGACAAGUGACAAAUGACCUGAAGAAAGCUGGCAGCCUUAGAUUUUACAAACCAAAAUUCAAAUAUAUUUUUUGUGAUAUGGAUGGUACGCUGCUCAACAGUAAAAGUCAAGUUUCAGCAAGGAAUGCAGAAGCUCUAAGGGAAGCUAGGUCAAGAGGAGUAAACAUAGUUAUUGCCACUGGAAAGGCACGUCCUGCUGUAAUCGACGCUCUUAGUAUGGUGGACUUAUCUGGAAGGACUGGUAUUGUUUCAGAAUCAUCACCUGGUGUAUUCCUUCAGGGGCUGUUGGUUUAUGGUUUGGAAGGGAGACGGAUUUAUAAAAGAAAUUUGGACCAAGAAGUAUGUAGAGAGGCACUCUCAUAUUCUAUAGAGAACAAGAUACCAUUUGUAGCAUUUAGUCAGGAUCAUUGUUAUUCGAUGUUUGACCACCCUUUGGUCGAUUCUCUCCAUUACAUAUACCAUGAACCUAAGGCUAAAAUAGUGCCAUCUAUUGGUCAGCUUUUAGAAACAGCUGAGAUACAGAAAGUAUUGUUCCUUGAAACUCCUGAGAGGAUUUCGUCUGCACUGAGACCGUACUGGGCAAAGGCGAUAGAGGGAAGGGCCCAUGUUGUUCAGGCACAGCCUGAUAUGCUUGAACUUGUACCACCUGCAACUUCGAAAGGCAAUGGUGUGAAGGUUCUGUUGAACCACCUUUCCAUUAGUCCAGAUGAGGUAGAAUUAAUCUAGUCUCCAACUAAUAUAUUUGCAUUACACUAAUAAAAACUUGCUAACCUUAGCUGAGGUAGAACAUUGAAGUAGCUGCAGAAAAGGUUCAGUAAAAUUAAGAUACCAAAACAUUAUUCUAGACCAACAACAUCAGUGUUACCUCUAAACUCUGUGACAAAUGUGCAGGAUAAGAAAUAUGGUGGUUCCUAAUUUCUGCAAUCCAUAUUAUUUACCUUUUCUUCCAACAUUUCUGACCAUGGAAGUUUGCAUUCAACUCCUGGUUAUUCAAGUGGUUGUUCAUGGUAAAAGUUUAAGCAUGGAGAUGCCAGCGAAGCAGCUGUUAUGAUGCUUCUGAUGUUAAUAGUGUGUGCGUGUCAUGCUAAUUGAUCUUGAGGAAUUAUAAGUGUGUUUGGUUUGAGGAAAGGGAAAAACGAAUGAAUCUUCCUAAUCUAUAGCUCUGAACCUAGUCUACAUGUUUGGUCUGAGGAUGCACCCAUGCAGUUGGUCCUGGUCCCAUCACUAACUCAUUUGUCAUAGGUAUAUGUUAGUAAAAAAGGAAUGAUAUUAUGAUGAUAUUAUCCUACCAAAACUUUGGAUGAGUUGGUUACUUAAAUGGAACUUAUGGCUAUAUC